This 468-nucleotide ribosomal RNA is filed under the name uncultured bacterium. Its description in RNAcentral is "partial 16S ribosomal RNA". It matches the Rfam family "Bacterial small subunit ribosomal RNA", at positions 28 to 507 of the family's 1533-position model. The record is from RNAcentral.
GACGAACGCUGGCGGCGUGCUUAACACAUGCAAGUCGAACGGAAAGGCCCUGCUUUUGUGGGGUGCUCGAGUGGCGAACGGGUGAGUAACACGUGAGUAACCUGCCCUUGACUUUGGGAUAACUUCAGGAAACUGGGGCUAAUACCGGAUAGGAGCUCCUGCUGCAUGGUGGGGGUUGGAAAGUUUCGGCGGUUGGGGAUGGACUCGCGUCUUAUCAGCUUGUUGGUGGGGUAGUGGCUUACCAAGGCUUUGACGGGUAGCCGGCCUGAGAGGGUGACCGGCCACAUUGGGACUGAGAUACGGCACAGACUCCUACGGGAGGCAGCAGUGGGGAAUAUUGCACAAUGGGCGGAAGCCUGAUGCAGCAACGCCGCGUGCGGGAUGACGGCCUUCGGGUUGUAAACCGCUUUCGCUUGUGACGAAGCGUGAGUGACGGUAAUGGGUAAAGAAGCACCGGCUAACUACGUG